This 440-nucleotide ribosomal RNA is filed under the name uncultured bacterium. RNAcentral describes it as "partial 16S ribosomal RNA". It matches the Rfam family "Bacterial small subunit ribosomal RNA", at positions 338 to 795 of the family's 1533-position model. The record is from RNAcentral.
CCUACGGGUGGCAGCAGUGGGGGAUAUUCCACAAUGGAGGGAACUCUGAUGCAGCGACGCCGCGUGAGGGAAGAAGGUUUUCGGAUUGUAAACCUCUGUCUUCGGUGACGAACCGUGACGUUAGUCGAUGAGGACGCCCUGGCUAACUAUGUGCCAGCAGCCGCGGCAAUACGUAGGUGGAAAGCGUUGUCCGUACUUACUGGGUGGGAAGGGAGCGUAGUUGGGAAAUCAAGUUGAAUGUUUAAGGUACGGGCUCAACGUGUACAAGCGUUCGAAACUGGUAGACUUGAGUGGAGUAGAGGUAAGCGGAAUUCCAAGUGUAGCGGUGAAAUGCGUAGAUAUUAGGAGGAACACCAGUGGCGAAGGCGGCUUACUGGGCUUUAACUGACGCUGAGGCUCGAAAGCGUGGGUAGCAAACAGGAUUAGAUACCCUGGUAGUC